RNAcentral lists this ribosomal RNA (140 nucleotides) under uncultured eukaryote. RNAcentral describes it as "partial 18S ribosomal RNA". It matches the Rfam family "Eukaryotic small subunit ribosomal RNA", at positions 1299 to 1458 of the family's 1831-position model. The record is from RNAcentral.
UGGUGGAGUGAUUUGUCUGGUUAAUUCCGUUAACGAACGAGACCUCGACCUGCUAAAUAGUUUACUAUACCCCUUGGGUAUCUGUAAACUUCUUAGAGGGACUAUCGGUUGUUAGCCGAUGGAAGUUCGAGGCAAUAACA